Molecule: ribosomal RNA, 932 nt
Filed under: Klebsiella aerogenes
Lineage: Bacteria; Pseudomonadati; Pseudomonadota; Gammaproteobacteria; Enterobacterales; Enterobacteriaceae
Description: bacterial SSU rRNA
Rfam family: Bacterial small subunit ribosomal RNA
Source: RNAcentral
GAAUUACUGGGCGUAAAGCGCACGCAGGCGGUCUGUCAAGUCGGAUGUGAAAUCCCCGGGCUCCACCUGGGAACUGCAUUCGAAACUGGCAGCCAGAGUUCUUGUAGAGGGGGGGUAGAAUUCCAGGUGUAGCGGUGAAAUGCGUAGAGAUCUGGAGGAAUACCCGCUGGCGAAGGGCGGCCCCCUGGACAAAGACUGACGCUCAGGUGCGAAGCGUGGGGAGCAAACAGGAUUAGAUACCCUGGUAGUCACGCCGUAAACGAUGUCGACUUGGAGGUUGUGCCCUGAGGCGUGGCUUCCGGAGCUAACGCGUUAAGUCGACCGCCUGGGGAGUACGGCCGCAAGGUUAAAACUCAAAUGAAUUGACGGGGGCCCGCACGAGCGGUGGAGCAUGUGGUUUAAUUCGAUGCAACGCGAAGAACCUUACCUACUCUUGACAUCCAGAGAACUUAGCAGAGAUGCUUUGGUGCCUUCGGGAACUCUGAGACAGGUGCUGCAUGGCGUCGUCAGCUCGUGUUGUGAAAUGUUGGGUUAAGUCCCGCAACGAGCGCAACCCUUAUCCUUUGUUGCCAGCGGUCCGGCCGGGAACUCAAAGGAGACUGCCAGUGAUAAACUGGAGGAAGGUGGGGAUGACGUCAAGUCAUCAUGGCCCUUACGAGUAGGGCUACACACGUGCUACAAUGGCAUAUACAAAGAGAAGCGACCUCGCGAGAGCAAGCGGACCUCAUAAAGUAUGUCGUAGUCCGGAUUGGAGUCUGCAACUCGACUCCAUGAAGUCGGAAUCGCUAGUAAUCGUAGAUCAGAAUGCUACGGUGAAUACGUUCCCGGGCCUUGUACACACCGCCCGUCACACCAUGGGAGUGGGUUGCAAAAGAAGUAGGUAGCUUACCCUUCUGGGAGGGCGCUUACCACUCUGUGAUUCAUGAGCGGGG